RNAcentral lists this non-coding RNA (210 nucleotides) under Vibrio sp. The record is from RNAcentral. RNAcentral also lists the same sequence under 1 other name. Lineage: Bacteria; Pseudomonadati; Pseudomonadota; Gammaproteobacteria; Vibrionales; Vibrionaceae.
AUUACACUGCCUUUCGCUGGUCUCCGAUUGUCACAACAAACGGAUCUAACAGGGAAUCUGGUGCAAUUCCAGAACUGACGCGCAGCGGUAAUAGAGAACAAGCGUUCAUUCGCACACUGUCUUAUGGAAAUUAGGCGGGAAGUGGAACGUAAGGUGGGUGAUUCACCCGUGCUCUUAAGUCCGAAUACCAACCAGUGAACGGGGAUGGAU